Molecule: non-coding RNA, 30 nt
Filed under: Mus musculus (house mouse)
Lineage: Eukaryota; Metazoa; Chordata; Mammalia; Rodentia; Muridae
Source: RNAcentral
UGACAGGCUAGAACGGUUGUUACAGUAUGG